RNAcentral lists this ribosomal RNA (429 nucleotides) under Chloroflexota bacterium. RNAcentral describes it as "Chloroflexi bacterium partial 16S ribosomal RNA". It matches the Rfam family "Bacterial small subunit ribosomal RNA", at positions 355 to 776 of the family's 1533-position model. Lineage: Bacteria; Bacillati; Chloroflexota. The record is from RNAcentral.
UGGGGAAUAUUGCACAAUGGGCGCAAGCCUGAUGCAGCCAUGCCGCGUGUAUGAAGAAGGCCUUCGGGUUGUAAAGUACUUUCAGUCGGGAGGAAGGUGGUAAGGUUAAUAACCUUAUCAAUUGACGUUACCGACAGAAGAAGCACCGACUAACUCCGUGCCAGCAGCCGCGGUAAUACGGAGGGUGCAAGCGUUAAUCGGAAUUACUGGGCGUAAAGCGCACGCAGGCGGUUGAUUGAGUCAGAUGUGAAAUCCCCGGGCUUAACCCGGGAAUUGCAUCUGAUACUGGUCAGCUAGAGUCUUGUAGAGGGGGGUAGAAUUCCAUGUGUAGCGGUGAAAUGCGUAGAGAUGUGGAGGAAUACCGGUGGCGAAGGCGGCCCCCUGGACGAAGACUGACGCUCAGGUGCGAAAGCGUGGGGAGCAAACAGG